CAGCCUUCAGAGCCAUUCCUUCUCCCGAGGUUGCGGAACCAUUUUGCCGACUUCCUUUAUCUACAUUGCUCUAUCGACUAGAGGCUGUUCACCUUGGAGACCUGAUGCGGUUAUGAGUACGACCAGGCGUGAGAACGAACCGCUCCCCCGGAUUUUCACGGGCCGUCGGGAGCGCGCCGGACACCUCAAGACUUAAGGUGCUUUGCCUGCCGUGUAGCCCUACCUCCGGCCGAACCGAUUCCAGGGCAAGAGGCAGUUAAGAAGAAAAGAGAACUCUUCCCAGGGCUCCCGCCGGCGUCUCCGGGUUCGUUCGCGUCGCCGCCCACCAUCCACGCGCUGGCUCGGGAAUAUUAACCCGAUUCCCUUUCGACGGACGGGCCGACUGAAGCGGCCACGUUCGGCGGAGCUCUCCUGUCUCUUAGGGUCGGCUCACCCAUGUCCAACUGCUGUUCACAUGGAACCUUUCUCCACUUCAGUCUUCAAAGUUCUCAUUUGAAUAUUUGCUACUACCACCAAGAUCUGCACCGGAGGCCGCUUCACCCAGGCUCACGCCCAAGGCUGCGUCGCGAACCCCGCGCCCCCCUACUCGCCGGCGCCUCGCGCUCGCGCCGGCGGCCGCGCAUCGGUGGUCCGCUUGAGCGCCAUCCAUUUUCAGGGCUAGUACCUUCGGCAGGUGAGUUGUUACACACUCCUUAGCGGGUUCCGACUUCCAUGGCCACCGUCCUGCUGUCUGGAGGUACCAACGCCUUUUGUGGUCUCUGAUGAGCGGACACUUAGGUACCUUAGCGCGGCGUUCGGUUCAUCCCGCAUCGCCAGUUCUGCUUACCAAAAAUGGCCCACUUUGAACGCGCCGUUCGCCGCGCGGGAUCAAUCAAGCAUCCCGCGCCUCUUGCCCAUUUAAAGUUUGAGAAUAGGUUAAGGCUGUUUCAGCCCCAAGGCCUCUAAUCAUUCGCUUUACCUGACAAAACCGUCGGCGUUCAAGCUAUCCUGUGGGAAACUUCGGAGGGAACCAGCUACUAGAUGGUUCGAUUAGUCUUUCGCCCCUAUACCCAAGUUCGACGAACGAUUUGCACGUCAGUAUCGCUACGAGCCUCCACCAGAGUUUCCUCUGGCUUCACCCUCCUCAGGCAUAGUUCACCAUCUUUCGGGUCCCGACACACGUGCUCCACUCAAACCCUUCACAGAAGAUCAAGGUCGGUUGGCGGGGUACGCCCUUCACUUUCAUUGCGCACGCGGGCUUGCCACCCGGGUACUCGCACACGUGUCAGACUCCUUGGUCCGUGUUACUAGACGGGUCGGUUGCGCCCGUUCCGUCAACCAGAGCCGCCCGCGCGGCGCUCCCGCAGGCUCGCCGAAGCCCUGCCUGCGGGCAUGUCCCGCCCGAACAGCCCGGGGUGACCCGCGCCGACAAAGUGCACCGCGCGAAGACGCACGGCUGAGUCGACGGCGCGAAGCCGGGCGCAAACGGGUUUCCUCUUGCCGAUUUCAAGCACUCUUUAACUCUCUUUUCAAAGUUCUUUGCAUCUUUCCCUCACGGUACUUGUUCGCUAUCGGUCUCUCGCCAGUAUUUAGCUUUAGAUGGAAUUUACCACCCACUUCAAGCUGCAAUCCCAAGCAACCCGACUCGGCAAGAUCGCAUCGUGCGACCGCGAACCGCCACGGCACAGGAUUCUCACCUUCUCCGAUACCCCGUUCCAAGGGAUUUGAGCGGCGGACGCGGCCGAUGGCGACUUUCUAGACUACAAUUCGGGGGGUCAGCUGAGGCGACCUCCAGAUUGGCGGCGUGAGCUCUGCCCGCUUCAUUCGCCAUUACUAGGGGCAUCCUGGUUAGUUUCUUCUCCUCCGCUUAGUGAUAUGCUUAAGUUCAGCGGGUAGCCUUGCUUCAUUCGAUGGCGGAUCAAAAACGACACGCCGCGCGAGGACGCGCAGCGGACGGGGAAGGGGCGGACGCGGCGCCGUGCACACACAACAGAGGCACGGUGACGCGACGCCCCGCGCCAGAGAGAGACGCAGCGCUCAGACACCCAACGGAUACGGAAGCCCGUGAAGACUCUUAACACGUCGGGGACGCGAACCCGUGCGCGCAAGCACACACGGGACGCGACCGCGCUGCCUCUCGGCGACGCUCGCUCCUUGAGCCGGCGCGCGAGGCGGGUGCGACGUGCGCACACGCCGCGCGAGGCGGCCACGGUCGGGCGCGCGCGGAGCGCGCGCCCAGGCGGGUGGAGGCGCCACUCGAAGAAACAUGCUCCCAGGCGGAACCUGGAAGCGCCAGUUGCGUUCAAAGGUUCGAUGAUUCACUGAAUUCUGCAAUUCGCACUACGUAUCGCAUUUCGCUGCGUUCUUCAUCGUUGCGAGAGCCAAGAUAUCCAUCGACAAGAGUUGUGUGUUGUGACAACUCGAGUGGAGGCCGGACGGGCGACGCGCGAGACGCACGCGAGGACCGCACCCUGGAGACAGGGCAAGGGCCACGCGACGCGCACGACGCGGACGCGCGCGGCACGGCGCUCCAGCGGGGGGCACGCUACGGCGGGGAGCCGAGGCGGCCAGACGGCUGCCGGACGAGCCAGCAGUGCCUGCGCGACGACGCCACGCACGGAGGCGGACGCCGACGCGCAGAGGACGCGCUCCGAUAAUGAAACGGUGCGCGCCCGGAAGACGGA
RNAcentral lists this ribosomal RNA (2663 nucleotides) under Haptolina ericina. RNAcentral's name for it is "partial Eukaryotic large subunit ribosomal RNA". The record is from RNAcentral. Lineage: Eukaryota; Haptophyta; Prymnesiales; Prymnesiaceae.